This 254-nucleotide ribosomal RNA is filed under the name uncultured bacterium. RNAcentral's name for it is "partial 16S ribosomal RNA". It matches the Rfam family "Bacterial small subunit ribosomal RNA", at positions 524 to 776 of the family's 1533-position model. The record is from RNAcentral.
UACGUAGGGUGCGAGCGUUGUCCGGAAUUAUUGGGCGUAAAGAGCUCGUAGGCGGUCUGUCGCGUCGAUCGUGAAAACUUGGGGCUUAACCCUGAGCUUGCGGUCGAUACGGGCAUGACUGGAGUUCGGCAGGGGAGACUGGAAUUCCUGGUGUAGCGGUGAAAUGCGCAGAUAUCAGGAGGAACACCGGUGGCGAAGGCGGCUCGCUGGGCCAUUGCUGACGCUGAGGCGCGAAAGCGUGGGGAGCAAACAGG